UACCCGGCAGCUUGACAUUACCUUUAGAAGAAGCACCGGCUAACUCCGUGCCAGCAGCCGCGGUAAUACGGAGGGUGCAAGCGUUAAUCGGAAUUACUGGGCGUAAAGCGUGCGUAGGCGGUUCGUUAAGUCAGAUGUGAAAGCCCCGGGCUUAACCUGGGAACUGCAUUUGAAACUGGCGGACUUGAGUUGAGUAGAGGGGAGUGGAAUUUCAGGUGUAGCGGUGAAAUGCGUAGAUAUCUGAAGGAACACCAGUGGCGAAGGCGACUCCCUGGACUCAAACUGACGCUGAGGUACGAAAGCGUGGGUAGCAAACAGGAUUAGAUACCCUGGUAGUCCACGCUGUAAACGAUGUCAACUAGCCGUUGGUCCUAUUUACAGGAUUAGUGGCGCAGCUAACGCAUUAAGUUGACCGCCUGGGGAGUACGGCCGCAAGGUUAAAAACUCAAAUGAAUUGACGG
RNAcentral lists this ribosomal RNA (461 nucleotides) under uncultured bacterium. RNAcentral describes it as "bacterial SSU rRNA". It matches the Rfam family "Bacterial small subunit ribosomal RNA", at positions 458 to 916 of the family's 1533-position model. The record is from RNAcentral.